CCCUUAGAUGUUCUGGGCCGCACGCGCGCUACACUGACGAUGUCAGAGAGUGUCUCCUUCACCGAGAGGUGUGGGUAAUCUUUUAAACAUCGUCGUGCUGGGGAUAGAUCAUUGCAAUUUUUGAUCUUAAACGAGGAAUUCCUAGUAAGCGCGAGUCAUAAGCUCGCGUUGAUUACGUCCCUGCCCUUUGUACACACCGCCCGUCGCUACUACCGAUUGAACGGUUUAGUGAGGGCCUCGGAUUGGUCUCGGCCCGCUCUUUACCGGGCGGCGCCGUUGGUCGAGAAGACGCUCGAACUUGAUCGUUUAGAGGAAGUAAAAGUCGUAACA
Molecule: ribosomal RNA, 330 nt
Filed under: uncultured eukaryote
Lineage: Eukaryota
Description: partial 18S ribosomal RNA
Rfam family: Eukaryotic small subunit ribosomal RNA
Source: RNAcentral